GACUAACUACGAUAAGCUUUGGUGAGCGGUAAGUACGCUAUGACCCAAAGAUUUCCGAAUGGGGAAACCCAACUCGUAAGAGUUGUCUGUAUCUGAAUACAUAGGAUAUUUGACGGAAUACGCUGUGAACUGAAACAUCUCAUUAGCAGCAGGAGCAGAAAGAAAAAUCGAUUCCCUAAGUAGCGGCGAGCGAACGGGGAAGAGCCCAAACCAACGUGCUUGCAUGUUGGGGUUGUAGGACUGAUAUAUAAGAGUUACAAAAGUGUUUUAUAGCAGAACAAGUUGGGAAACUUGGCUAUAGAGGGUGAUAGCCCCGUAAGCGAAAUGAAGCACACUCUUUUCAGGAUCCUGAGUACGGCCGGACACGUGAAAUCCGGUCGGAAUCUGCGGGGACCAUCCCGUAAGGCUAAAUACUCCCUAGUGACCGAUAGUGAACCAGUACCGUGAGGGAAAGGUGAAAAGCACCCCGGAAGGGGAGUGAAAUAGUUCCUGAAACCACGACGCCUACAAGAAGUCAGAGCCCGUUAAUGGGUGAUGGCGUGCCUUUUGUAGAAUGAACCGGCGAGUUACGGUAUCGUGCGAGGUUAAGGUGGAAAGACCGGAGCCGCAGCGAAAGCGAGUGUGAAUAGCGCGAAUAGUACGAUGCUGUAGACCCGAAACCAAGUGACGUACCCAUGGUCAGGAUGAAGGUGAGGUAAAACUUACUGGAUGUCCGAACCGGUGCCUGUUAAAAAAUGCUCGGAUGAACUGUGGGUAGCGGUGAAAUUCCAAACGAACUUGGAGAUAGCUGGUUCUCUCCGAAAUAGCUUUAGGGCUAGCCUCAUUAUAAGCAUACUGGAGGUAGAGCACUGUUAAGCCUAGGGGCCCAUCUCGGGUUACCAAAGUUUGAUAAACUCCGAAUGCCAGAUAUGUAUGAAUGGGAGUCAGACGAUGAGUGAUAAGAUCCACCGUCGAAAGGGGAACAGCCCAGAUCGCCAGUUAAGGUCCCUAAAUAUAUGUUAAGUGGAAAACGAUGUGAUAGUGCAUAGACAACUAGGAUGUUGGCUUAGAAGCAGCCACCAUUUAAAGAGUGCGUAAUAGCUCACUAGUCGAGUGCCAUUGCGCGGAAAAUGUACGGGGGCUAAAAAUAUUAACGAGAAUGCGGGUAUGAGUAGCGAAAGACAGGUGAGAAUCCUGUCCACCGAAUGACUAAGGUUUCCUGGGGAAGGCUCGUCCACCCAGGGUUAGUCGGGACCUAAGGCGAGGCUGAGAAGCGUAGUCGAUGGAUAACAGGUUGAGAUUCCUGUACCAGUUGUAAUGCGUUAUUACCGAUGGAGGGACGCAGGAGGCUACCAGAUGCGCACUGAUGGAUAUGUGCGUGCAAGCAGUAAGUCUUGAAAAGAGUGAAAUGCUUUUUUCUAUAAGGACAAGCUGUGAUGCGGAUCGAAAUAAAGUAGAGAAGUCUGAGACGUCACACUGCCGAGAAAAGCUUCUAGGAAGUAUUACACUGCCCGUACCGCAAACCGACACAGGUAGUCGAGUGGAGAACACUAAGGUGAGCGAGAGAACCCUCGUUAAGGAACUCGGCAAAAUGACCCCGUAACUUCGGGAGAAGGGGUGCUCAUGGUAAAACAUGAGCCGCAGUGAAUAGGCCCAGGCGACUGUUUAUCAAAAACACAGGUUUCUGCAAAAUCGUAAGAUGAAGUAUAGGGGCUGACGCCUGCCCGGUGCUGGAAGGUUAAAAGGAGUGCUUAGUUUCGGCGAAGGUACGAAUUGAAGCCCCAGUAAACGGCGGCCGUAACUAUAACGGUCCUAAGGUAGCGAAAUUCCUUGUCGGGUAAGUUCCGACCCGCACGAAAGGCGUAACGAUCUGGGCACUGUCUCAACGAGGGACUCGGUGAAAUUUAAAUACCCGUGAAGAUGCGGGUUACCCGCGACAGGACGGAAAGACCCCAUGGAGCUUUACUGUAGCUUGAUAUUGAAUGUUUGUGCUGCUUGUACAGAAUAGGUAGGAGACGUAGAAGAUUGGACGCUAGUCUAGUCGGAGUCGCACGGUGGGAUACUACCCUCGUUGUAUGAACAUUCUAACACUGGUCACUCAACGUGAUCGUGGACAGUGUCUGGCGGGCAGUUUGACUGGGGCGGUCGCCUCCUAAAAGGUAACGGAGGCG
Molecule: ribosomal RNA, 2150 nt
Filed under: Leuconostoc mesenteroides subsp. mesenteroides
Lineage: Bacteria; Bacillati; Bacillota; Bacilli; Lactobacillales; Lactobacillaceae
Description: bacterial LSU rRNA
Rfam family: Bacterial large subunit ribosomal RNA
Source: RNAcentral